This 263-nucleotide long non-coding RNA is filed under the name Lathyrus oleraceus (garden pea). RNAcentral's name for it is "Pisum sativum (pea) long non-coding RNA (PSAT_LNC036206)". The record is from RNAcentral. Lineage: Eukaryota; Viridiplantae; Streptophyta; Magnoliopsida; Fabales; Fabaceae.
UUCUUUUGUUUUGUUUUUUGCUUUCCCUUAUUUUUACCUGGACUAAUCCUUUAGGUUUGUAGUCCACCAGGAUGCCCUAAUUUUUGCCUAUGUCACUUUUUUUCAAGCUUUUGACUUAGCGAGCUUUUUGUUUUGAUUUUUAUUUAUUUUUUAUUUUGUAUUGACACAAAACGUGUGACAUUUGCUUGCUUAAUUUGUUGCAAGGGUCGUGACUAUCUCACUCCUUUUGUUGGUAAGGGAUAACCAUUGUGAAUUUUUGAUUG